Candidatus Lloydbacteria bacterium is the source of this 240-nucleotide non-coding RNA. The record is from Rfam. Lineage: Bacteria; Candidatus Lloydiibacteriota.
AUGUCCCUCUGAUGCCCUGGGCCACACACAUAAUACAAUGGGCAUUACAACGGGCAGCGACACAGCAAUGUUGAGCUAAUCCUUAAAAAGUGCCCUCAGUUCGGAUUGGGGUCUGCAACUCGACCCCAUGAAGCUGGAAUCGCUAGUAAUCGUGGGUCAGCUAAACCACGGUGAAUACGUUCUCAAGUCUUGUACUCGGGUCGCCAUGCGAUCGAGUGUGCUAGUUGGUGAAAAUCCAAU